This 476-nucleotide long non-coding RNA is filed under the name Mytilus galloprovincialis (Mediterranean mussel). Lineage: Eukaryota; Metazoa; Mollusca; Bivalvia; Mytilida; Mytilidae. The record is from RNAcentral.
AAAACUUUAACCUGAACUUUGCACUAUCAUUUUCUAUGUUCAGUGGACCAUGAAAUUGGGGUCAAAACUAUAAUUUGGCAUUAAAAUUAGAAAGAUCAUAUCAUGGGGAACAUGUGUAUUAAGUUUCAAGUUGAUUGGACUUCAGCUUCAUCAAAAACUACCUCGACCAAAAACUUUAACCGGACGGACGAACGGAGGCACAGACCAGAAAACAUAAUGCCCCUCUACUAUCGUAGGUGGGGCAUAAAAAUUAUUCUACAUGUUAUAACAUUUUACCACACAUGUCUAUAGUAUAACACUAAGCUACAUGUAACAAUGUUUUACCACACAUUUCUAUUUCCACACGUUUAUAGUGUAACACUAAGCUAUGUUUUACCACAUGUUUAUAGUGUAACACUAAGUUCCGCACAUGUCCAUAGUGUAACACUAAGCUAUCUUUUUACCACUCACAUUUAUAGUGUAACACUAAAGUCCAC